GCUCGAUCUCACAGACCGUGAGGUGACGGCCUGAGCUGAGGUCAAGAGUCCGACGCUUAACCGACUGAGCCACCCAGGCGCCCCAAGGCGGUUCAUUUUUUACUCACCUAGGUAAAGCAUGAUCAGCUGCUAGUUGUGAAAACUCGAGCGGUAUCUUUGUUCCCCCAGCCCCCACUCCCUCUCCCACCCUCUGGCUCUGGAAGACACCCGUGUCCCUAGAGCGGCCCAUGCUGGUUGGGCCUUUCUCCUGACUGCACUGUCCCUGGCUGUGGCAUUCCCCACCUCUUUGGCCCCCGAAUACCAUGAGACACACCGCUUUCUCUGCUCAGGCAGCAGGAGCGGUUUGGGCAUCCAUACCCUGGCAGUUGGAUUGUGGACCACCUUGUGUCUCUGAGUCUCCAUUUCCUCAACUGUGAAUGGGAUUAAAAUGCUUAUUUGGAGGGUGAGAUUAAAGUUAAUAUAGGGUGCGAGACCCAGAACAAAGGAGCCCGGCUGAGAUGCCACCAAAGAAGUGAUGUGGACACAGGAGGCUCCUUAAAAGUCAGGGACGCUGGAGCCAGGAGGCAGGUAAUGCCAGGGAGGCAGGGGCCGGUGGCAGCCUCCAGCUCUCCGUCCGGGUCUCCUUCCCUCCUAGAGGAGCUGGGACGAGGGGACAAAGGCACUCCUCGGUGUCCCAUGCAGCUGUUCUCUGGGAAAGCCAUAUUGACUUAUAAAUGACCAGAGCGGGUGUGGGGCAGCCUGGUGGGAGGGGUGGUGGGUGCAGGCCAGGGAGAGGCCUUGGGAAGGGCUGACGUGGGGGUGUCCUGGACGAGGCCAGCCCUGGGGGAUUCCUGGCUGGGCUAGUGGCCAGCGUUUCUGUACGUUUGCUCACUUGGUUUAGGGCAGACCACCCGGCUUCUAGAAAGUUUCCCUGCCUUUGGGUGGCCCGGGACCAAGCAGGGUUGGGUCAGGAAGCUCCAGGGGCCUCUAGAGCUGGGCACCUUCUGCCCAUUGUGGUGCUUCUCCAACUGGCAGCCUUCCCAGGGCUCUUCCCAGUGCUCGGCCCAAGAGCGCCUCAGGCCACACGGCCGCGUGGGGCCCUUCCUUCCCGCUCUCCCUUCACAACUGUCAGACCCGCAUCGUGGGCCCAUCCGAAGGCCCUCCCUGCCUUCUUCCCUCCCCCUUUAUCCUUCACAGGGAGUUCCCCAAUAAAUCUCUCCUACAUCUCAUCCCUUCUUGGCGUCUGUCACUCUGAGGACCUGAUGACGCACCCUCAACUUUUGUCUUGGCGGCCCCCCCCCCCGCCCCCGCGAGAGCAACUGCUUUGUCCCCUCUUUCUGGUGACGGUCAGCUUUCUCUUGGCUCUGGAAAAAUGACUGCCUGUCUCCAACCUCAUCCGUUCCAUUUCCAGCCGGACUCCGUUGUCUGUCUCUUGUACUGCUCUCCCGUCUCACGUGAGGAGCCACGGGUCCUGUUGACGGGGGCCGGGAAAUCAUGGCUCGGUCUUUGAGGGUAGAGGGGUGGAGGAGAAAGAAGUUGGUACCCCUAAAUCUGCAUAGGGCGGUGCAAACUUAUGGUUAUUUUCUAAAUAAGAGGGCUGCCCAUUUCAGAGUUUUUGGAUACGCCCCCUCCAGUGUGUCCCCUGGAAAUGUCCUACCUGCAUUCCCAAGGAGCAGGUGACGAGCCUACUGUCCCUGCUCUCGUCAGCACUUCCCGUUGCAUUUUUUAAAAGUUCUCACCAGUUUGGUAGCUCAAAAUACAGCAUCUCAUACUGGUUUAAUUUUAUAUUCCUUUUAAACAGUACGCGUGAACUGUAGUUCAUGGAUAUUGGACACUUACGUUCUCUUUUCCGAAUGGUCCGUGUCUUUCGCCGACUUUUCCUUUGCGGUGUUGGUCUCUUUCUUCUUGAUUUGUAAAGAUGGUGACCCUUCAUUUCCCAUAUAUGCUGCAUUAUUUCUAGCUUUCAAAUAUCAUCAGACGCACACGUUCCCUUAGAGGGAACGUCCUCUCCAUUCUGCUGUGGCCUCCGUCUACACUGCAGCCAGUCCGUCUUCAGAUCAGUAACCUUUGCUUAUUUUAUUCUGUCCUGUAGGAGAGUACUUACUUUGUCAGGCAUUGUAGUUGGCUUUGUUGACGGUCAUCAUCCCAUUCAGCGCUCCAACAAUACCACAAGGUGGUGGUAUGACCCGCAUUUUAUGGAUCGGGAUACGGAGGCCGGAGGGCAUCUGAUUCCAGGCCCUUGCUUAUUUCACAGAUCCACCAGAGCAUUUAGAUUGAUGCCAAUCACUAACCCAGAGCCUGGAGACCCAAAGAAACUGCCUUUCCUAAGAACCUCCCUGAGUCUGUGGGUGCCUGUCCAGGCCCUCGCUUAAGGAGCCUUCCUGCUUUCUUCACGGAGAGUUCCAGGGCUUCAGAGGCUUGAAGCUGCGUGUAAAAGUGUGUUUAUACCGUUUUCUUGGGAGAGGAUCCAGAGGUGACAUCAGGCUCUCAACCACAAAAACAGUGAAACAUAAAAAGUAGGGGGGGGGCUCCAUUUUGUGUUCUCUCCGGUGGUUCCCCAACUUUUUUUCUUACCUCGGAGGCAUAUAGAAUUCUCAAAAGAAUAUGAGGAUGUAAAAUUCUGCAAAGUAAGCCCAUUAAAAAGAAACUAACCACUAUCACAACAUUCUCAUAUUAUAAAAGGACAUUUUAACCACCUCCCCAACCAAAUCAAGGACAAAUUCUUGGGAGGGGGGUAGUGACAGGCCUUGAAGUAGAUAAAGGGGCUGUAACACACUGUCCUCCUGGUCCCUUGUUGUGCUCUUUUGUCCUUGACGGAAAGUGGCAGUAUGGCUCUGCCUUUGGAAAGCUCCCUCUGCACCUUCUGCACAGAGAGGCAGCUGCUUAGAGCCUGUGUCCUGGAAGCUGCAGACAGUUCUCCCGAAAGGCACCUGCUGGAGCUGGCGGGGCAUGCGCCCUGUGGGGUUCCCGGGGGGUGUUUCCUGGGCUUUCCAGGUGGGGAUGAACACGGGUGUGUUUAUGAGUUUCACAAAGGGAGGUCACGUGCUUGUCCGUUGGGCUCAAUUUUCCCUCAAGGGUUUUGGGAGAGGCCCUGAGCGGCUGGAACAACUUGCUGUCCCCAACCCCUUUGGAAGGGAGACCCUGGUGGGGGAGGGGGGGCCGUGGAGGCCACGAGAGCGCGUAUGUGGGGGCCAUGCACGAGGACCCCACUCCCUCCCGGUUGCCUGCGUCCCUCCCUCCCUCCCGCACUAGGCUACUGCAUUCCAGACAGGCCCUCGUCCCUCCCGCCUUGGAUGCCAGCAGGUCAGCGUCAGUGCACUGGCUGGUGUUCUCUCCGCCCCCUCCCCAGGCCCCUUCUCUCCUUGGCUGAGGACAGGCAGGAGGACCUGGCUUCAUACAGAGAUUUUUCCAGGGAAGGUUCGCUGAGAAGGAAAGUUGGCUCCCCCACCAGGAGCGGGUCUCCUGAGAGCAGUGAGCUGUGGCCCCGGGUCCUUAUGUCUCCAGGAGUGAUUCCUGAGCCAACAGGUACUGUUGGGCAGCCGAUACGUGCCUGACAAACUGCUUCAACCGUUCCAACCUCAGUUUCCCGUUUUCUAAAUGGAGCUAAUGCUCCCCUGACCCUUGAUGCCCCCUCUGAGCUCUGGCAGGAUUCCCCAACUGUCUGCACAAUUGGAGGCAGGACAGGCAUCGGCGCAUGAGCGGGACCCCUUUGCGAUGCUGCUGCACCCGGUGUGUCUGCAGGUGCUCCCUCAUUAGGUCCCACGGAAGCACGCAUGUGAUCCGAAACCCUGAUUUAGCUGCUAGCGUGUCAGGGUCACCGGGCACUUGGAGGAGCAGCUGGUCCCUCAAGGUCACUUAGCAAGUAAGGACGUAGCAGCCCACCCACGCGUCUGUUCUGGGAGGGCUUCGGGAAUGCUGUUCAACCCCCAUGGUACGAAGAAGGGCCCUUUUGCCCAGUUUUGUCGAUACGACAAAGACAAUAAACGAAUACUUUUUAGAAAUAGUCGAGGGGGACAUAAUUAGGGAAGAAACGACCGGAAUGUCUAUAUCGCUGAGCCUUCGCAAGGAAAUCCCUAAUAUUAUUUUCAGAUACGCUACAAUGAUAGUUGAGAAUAAGCUACUGUAUGACCUGGCUGGGGCCCCUGCAGCACCUGCCUUGAGUACCAGGCAAGAGUCACAGGACUCACUCAUAGUUUAUAAGCUAAUUUGCACAGUUUGCUUCAUAAGCACAUCUGUACAGUUUUAAAUGGUUUCCAAAGGACUUGAAAGCAGUUUGGGUUCUUAACAAAGUGAUGGAAUCCCCUGCCAUCUCGUCUGCCCUGGGAACUGGCUCUGCAGACCGUAGUUUUGUUUUGUUUUUGAAAUCACGAACAGAUGUUGAUGUUUAGACUGCCGGCUCCAGUUAAACACAGGCUUUUCUGCUUCUCCUCUGCCCACCUUGCUCUGUCAGGGGUGGGGGGGGGGGCUCUUGCCGGGCUGGAGUCCUGUCCCCCGGGCCCCCUCCCUUGAGCUGCCUCCAGCGAGGCAGGGAGUCUCCUGGGAGGGGGAGGGACAGCCUGUGGGAAGGAAGAGAGUGGGGUCAGCGUGCCCAGGACGAUGCCCCGCUCAGAGAGAGGCUCGGCCCAUGCACGCGCCCUGCUUUUCCUUCGGGCUCCCUAGAAUUCCCCAUCCAGCCUUCCUUACCCUCUUCUGCUCCAGAGGACGGCCAAGGGAGCUGAGGGUAUGGCUCGAGAGAGACAGAGCAUGAACGGGGGAGGGGCAGAGAGAGAGGGAGAAACAGAAUCGGA
Felis catus (domestic cat) is the source of this 4766-nucleotide long non-coding RNA. RefSeq lists it as uncharacterized. The record is from RefSeq and is a predicted model, not a curated record. The transcript has 3 exons. Lineage: Eukaryota; Metazoa; Chordata; Mammalia; Carnivora; Felidae.